CACGGCCCAGACUCCUACGGGAGGCAGCAGUGGGGAAUUUUGGACAAUGGGCGCAAGCCUGAUCCAGCAAUGCCGCGUGAGUGAAGAAGGCCUUCGGGUUGUAAAGCUCUUUUGUCAGGGAAGAAACGGUGGGAGCUAAUAUCUCCCACUAAUGACGGUACCUGAAGAAUAAGCACCGGCUAACUACGUGCCAGCAGCCGCGGUAAUACGUAGGGUGCAAGCGUUAAUCGGAAUUACUGGGCGUAAAGCGUGCGCAGGCGGUUUUGUAAGUCUGAUGUGAAAUCCCCGGGCUCAACCUGGGAAUUGCAUUGGAGACUGCAAGGCUAGAGUUUGGCAGAGGGGGGUAGAAUUCCACGUGUAGCAGUGAAAUGCGUAGAUAUGUGGAGGAACACCGAUGGCGAAGGCAGCCCCCUGGGUCAAGACUGACGCUCAUGCACGAAAGCGUGGGGAGCAAACAGGAUUAGAUACCCUGGUAGUCCACGCCCUAAACGAUGUCUACUAGUUGUCGGGUCUUAAUUGACUUGGUAACGCAGCUAACGCGUGAAGUAGACCGCCUGGGGAGUACGGUCGCAAGAUUAAAACUCAAAGGAAUUGACGGA
Molecule: ribosomal RNA, 599 nt
Filed under: bacterium enrichment culture clone F61x_D41_T3_A06
Lineage: Bacteria
Description: bacterial SSU rRNA
Rfam family: Bacterial small subunit ribosomal RNA
Source: RNAcentral